AGGCAGCAGUAGGGAAUCUUCCACAAUGGGCGAAAGCCUGAUGGAGCAACGCCGCGUGGGUGAAGAAGGUCUUCGGAUCGUAAAACCCUGUUGUUAGAGAAGAAAGUGCGUGAGAGUAACUGUUCACGUUUCGACGGUAUCUAACCAGAAAGCCACGGCUAACUACGUGCCAGCAGCCGCGGUAAUACGUAGGUGGCAAGCGUUAUCCGGAUUUAUUGGGCGUAAAGGGAACGCAGGCGGUCUUUUAAGUCUGAUGUGAAAGCCUUCGGCUUAACCGGAGUAGUGCAUUGGAAACUGGGAGACUUGAGUGCAGAAGAGGAGAGUGGAACUCCAUGUGUAGCGGUGAAAUGCGUAGAUAUAUGGAAGAACACCAGUGGCGAAAGCGGCUCUCUGGUCUGUAACUGACGCUGAGGUUCGAAAGCGUGGGUAGCAAACAGGAUUAGAUACCCUGGUAG
RNAcentral lists this ribosomal RNA (455 nucleotides) under uncultured bacterium. Its description in RNAcentral is "bacterial SSU rRNA". It matches the Rfam family "Bacterial small subunit ribosomal RNA", at positions 346 to 793 of the family's 1533-position model. The record is from RNAcentral.